Molecule: ribosomal RNA, 2917 nt
Filed under: Bacillus anthracis (anthrax bacterium)
Lineage: Bacteria; Bacillati; Bacillota; Bacilli; Caryophanales; Bacillaceae
Description: bacterial LSU rRNA
Rfam family: Bacterial large subunit ribosomal RNA
Source: RNAcentral
UAAGUUAGAAAGGGCGCACGGUGGAUGCCUUGACACUAGGAGUCGAUGAAGGACGGGACUAACGCCGAUAUGCUUCGGGGAGCUGUAAGUAAGCUUUGAUCCGAAGAUUUCCGAAUGGGGAAACCCACCAUACGUAAUGGUAUGGUAUCCUUAUCUGAAUACAUAGGGUAAGGAAGACAGACCCAGGGAACUGAAACAUCUAAGUACCUGGAGGAAGAGAAAGCAAAUGCGAUUUCCUGAGUAGCGGCGAGCGAAACGGAACAUAGCCCAAACCAAGAGGCUUGCCUCUUGGGGUUGUAGGACAUUCUAUACGGAGUUACAAAGGAACGAGGUAGACGAAGCGACCUGGAAAGGUCCGUCGUAGAGGGUAACAACCCCGUAGUCGAAACUUCGUUCUCUCUUGAAUGUAUCCUGAGUACGGCGGAACACGUGAAAUUCCGUCGGAAUCUGGGAGGACCAUCUCCCAAGGCUAAAUACUCCCUAGUGAUCGAUAGUGAACCAGUACCGUGAGAGAAAGGUGAAAAGCACCCCGGAAGGGGAGUGAAAGAGAUCCUGAAACCGUGUGCCUACAAAUAGUCAGAGCCCGUUAACGGGUGAUGGCGUGCCUUUUGUAGAAUGAACCGGCGAGUUACGAUCCCGUGCGAGGUUAAGCUGAAGAGGCGGAGCCGCAGCGAAAGCGAGUCUGAAUAGGGCGUUUAGUACGUGGUCGUAGACCCGAAACCAGGUGAUCUACCCAUGUCCAGGGUGAAGUUCAGGUAACACUGAAUGGAGGCCCGAACCCACGCACGUUGAAAAGUGCGGGGAUGAGGUGUGGGUAGCGGAGAAAUUCCAAUCGAACCUGGAGAUAGCUGGUUCUCCCCGAAAUAGCUUUAGGGCUAGCCUUAAGUGUAAGAGUCUUGGAGGUAGAGCACUGAUUGGACUAGGGGUCCUCAUCGGAUUACCGAAUUCAGUCAAACUCCGAAUGCCAAUGACUUAUCCUUAGGAGUCAGACUGCGAGUGAUAAGAUCCGUAGUCAAAAGGGAAACAGCCCAGACCGCCAGCUAAGGUCCCAAAGUGUGUAUUAAGUGGAAAAGGAUGUGGAGUUGCUUAGACAACUAGGAUGUUGGCUUAGAAGCAGCCACCAUUUAAAGAGUGCGUAAUAGCUCACUAGUCGAGUGACUCUGCGCCGAAAAUGUACCGGGGCUAAAUACACCACCGAAGCUGCGGAUUGAUACCAAUGGUAUCAGUGGUAGGGGAGCGUUCUAAGGACAGUGAAGUCAGACCGGAAGGACUGGUGGAGUGCUUAGAAGUGAGAAUGCCGGUAUGAGUAGCGAAAGACGGGUGAGAAUCCCGUCCACCGAAUGCCUAAGGUUUCCUGAGGAAGGCUCGUCCGCUCAGGGUUAGUCAGGACCUAAGCCGAGGCCGACAGGCGUAGGCGAUGGACAACAGGUUGAUAUUCCUGUACCACCUCUUUAUCGUUUGAGCAAUGGAGGGACGCAGAAGGAUAGAAGAAGCGUGCGAUUGGUUGUGCACGUCCAAGCAGUUAGGCUGAUAAGUAGGCAAAUCCGCUUAUCGUGAAGGCUGAGCUGUGAUGGGGAAGCUCCUUAUGGAGCGAAGUCUUUGAUUCCCCGCUGCCAAGAAAAGCUUCUAGCGAGAUAAAAGGUGCCUGUACCGCAAACCGACACAGGUAGGCGAGGAGAGAAUCCUAAGGUGUGCGAGAGAACUCUGGUUAAGGAACUCGGCAAAAUGACCCCGUAACUUCGGGAGAAGGGGUGCUUUCUUAACGGAAAGCCGCAGUGAAUAGGCCCAAGCGACUGUUUAGCAAAAACACAGCUCUCUGCGAAGCCGUAAGGCGAAGUAUAGGGGGUGACACCUGCCCGGUGCUGGAAGGUUAAGGAGAGGGGUUAGCGUAAGCGAAGCUCUGAACUGAAGCCCCAGUAAACGGCGGCCGUAACUAUAACGGUCCUAAGGUAGCGAAAUUCCUUGUCGGGUAAGUUCCGACCCGCACGAAAGGUGUAACGAUUUGGGCACUGUCUCAACCAGAGACUCGGUGAAAUUAUAGUACCUGUGAAGAUGCAGGUUACCCGCGACAGGACGGAAAGACCCGUGGAGCUUUACUGUAGCCUGAUAUUGAAUUUUGGUACAGUUUGUACAGGAUAGGCGGGAGCCUUUGAAACCGGAGCGCUAGCUUCGGUGGAGGCGCUGGUGGGAUACCGCCCUGACUGUAUUGAAAUUCUAACCUACGGGUCUUAUCGACCCGGGAGACAGUGUCAGGUGGGCAGUUUGACUGGGGCGGUCGCCUCCUAAAGUGUAACGGAGGCGCCCAAAGGUUCCCUCAGAAUGGUUGGAAAUCAUUCGUAGAGUGCAAAGGCAUAAGGGAGCUUGACUGCGAGACCUACAAGUCGAGCAGGGACGAAAGUCGGGCUUAGUGAUCCGGUGGUUCCGCAUGGAAGGGCCAUCGCUCAACGGAUAAAAGCUACCCCGGGGAUAACAGGCUUAUCUCCCCCAAGAGUCCACAUCGACGGGGAGGUUUGGCACCUCGAUGUCGGCUCAUCGCAUCCUGGGGCUGUAGUCGGUCCCAAGGGUUGGGCUGUUCGCCCAUUAAAGCGGUACGCGAGCUGGGUUCAGAACGUCGUGAGACAGUUCGGUCCCUAUCCGUCGUGGGCGUAGGAAAUUUGAGAGGAGCUGUCCUUAGUACGAGAGGACCGGGAUGGACGCACCGCUGGUGUACCAGUUGUUCUGCCAAGGGCAUAGCUGGGUAGCUAUGUGCGGAAGGGAUAAGUGCUGAAAGCAUCUAAGCAUGAAGCCCCCCUCAAGAUGAGAUUUCCCAUAGCGUAAGCUAGUAAGAUCCCUGAAAGAUGAUCAGGUUGAUAGGUUCGAGGUGGAAGCAUGGUGACAUGUGGAGCUGACGAAUACUAAUAGAUCGAGGACUUAACCA